This is a long non-coding RNA of Peromyscus leucopus (white-footed mouse), 2788 nucleotides long. RefSeq lists it as uncharacterized. The record is from RefSeq and is a predicted model, not a curated record. The transcript is spliced from 3 exons. Lineage: Eukaryota; Metazoa; Chordata; Mammalia; Rodentia; Cricetidae.
AAGUUAGCAUAUGUUCUGUUCAGUGUGUGUGUGUGUGUGUGUGUGUGUGUGUGUGUGUGUGUGUGUGUGUGUGUGUGUGUGUGUAUGUAUGUGCCUGGAAGGUAGAGGUGUCUUUUGACCUCUUCCAUUGAGAUAGGGUUUCUCAGAACCUGGAGCUAGCUUAGAGGCCAUCAAGCCCCUAGAGAUCUCAGAAAUUUGAAGGCAGAUCCUUUUGCCUUCAAAACAAGAGCUCUUACCCACUGAGCCAUCCUCCAGCCUGAUUUUAAACUAUUUUUUACUACACAUGAAUUUUGACUUCCAUAUCACAUGAGGUCGGGUAAGAAUUUUCCAUUUGUGCUAUUUUCAAGCAUAGGAUUUGGGAGCUUUUAAAAAUGUAUGUGUUCAGAUUGGAACAGUUCAAGUUACAGUUACAUUUGCUAAGGGACAAAUGCAAAGUUAGACCAGGAAAGGUGAGAAUCCUUCCCGUGACCAAUCUGUGUUCAAUACCUUAUCCACAUCCUCUUCCUUUUCUGUGAAUUGGGGUAUAGUGAUAAGAUGAUGGUUAUAAAGAUCAAAGAACACUUAUGUAAUCAUUACCUAGUCCGCAGGCAGGAAGAGUAAUUAGCCUAAUUGCUGAGUACACAAAAGGCAGUCAUCCAUGACACCUCAGGUAUUUUUUUGGUGGGGACACCAAGAUAAACUUGGUGGCAGCAGUUUUCCACCAGUGGUGUGGGAAAGUGCUUUCCUCUCCUGAGGAAACUGCUCCUUUGCUGCUCGUUCAUCACCAGGGAAGAGUGGAUGCAGUCUCCCACUACUGCAGAUUAUAGAAACUAAUUUGCCUUUGGAGGAAACACAAGGGUUUAUACACACUAAGAGCAAUGUGUGAACCUUGACCUGGGAAAACCCUUCUUGAUCAGAGUCUCCUCUGCCAGGAAGGAACCUCAAUGAUACUGAGCAUCUAUGAACUGCCCCACAGCCGGCAUCACACCUAUUGAUGAGACAGUAGCUUCUUCUUCCUCCUAAGACAAGGAACAAGACAAUGACACCUACUCUCCUCACUUCUAGUACAACGUUCUCCAGACAGUCCCAGCCAGUGCAAAAGGCAAGAGAAAGAAAAUACAUAACGACUAAAACAUGGCCUCUUGAGUCAGGGGUGGUGGUAACACCUGUAAUUCCAGCACUUGACAGGAAGUUCAAAGCAAACUUGAGGCCAUCCUAGACCACAUAGUGAAUUCCAAGCAAGACCUUAUCUCGAAUAAACAAACAAAAUAUGUCUUUCAGCAAAUUAUGCUGUGAUACAUGAGCAAAACAUAUGAAAGAAGAAAAUGAAGUCUCCAAAGCAAACUUAAUGGCCUAAACAUAAGCAGCUAUGGUGUACGGUGGCACAUGCAUGUAAUCUAACCAUGCAGGAGUUUGAGGCCAGCCUGUAUUAUAGGGUGAAACCCUGUCUACUUAAAAAUAAAAAUAAAAUAAAGCCUGAGCUGGGUGUGGUGGCUUAGGCAGGCAGGCAGGUGGGACUCUGUGAGUUUGAGGCCAGGUUGGUCUGAGACAUUCCAAAAUGAGAAAUACACUCACCUUGUUUUUUCAAUUUUGUCCCAACUUCAGGCAGACUACAGUAAACAACAUCUCCCAAAGCUUCCUGAAAUACAAAAACAACAUAAAAAUGUCUAAGAAGUUGACCCCACCAGAAAACAGGAAAGAGACAAACACCUCAUUGCCUAAAUUUUUGUCUAUGUAUUUCACACAUGGGGGGCUACAUUCUUUGCUUUUCUGUACAACCCUUUAAACAUGUAAAAUGGGCCAGGCAUGGUAGCAUAUACCCAAAAUCUAGCACUUGGGGGACAGAUGUAGAAGGAUUAAGUCCAUCGCACAAAAAGAAUAAAAUCAGGUAAGAUUUGGUACACCUCUGGUCAGAGGCUGAGGAAGGGGGACCCAAGUUCAAGAUCCACCUUGUCUAUAGAAUUGGUUCAAGGUCAGCUAAGGCACCUUAGCCAGAGCCUAUCUCAAAAUGAAAAGUAAGAAAAGGCUAGAGAUGUAGCUCAGUGGUGGAGAACCUGCCUCGCAUGUGUAUGACCCAGGGAGCAAUCACAGUACUGCAUAAAUAAUACUUUAAAAGCAAAAACACGCGGAAGUCUGAGGAUAACUUGCAGGAGUCGGUUCUUUCCCCCUACUGCGUGCAUCCCGAGGAUCGAACUCGGGUUGUUAGGCUUGGUGGCAAGCACCCUUACUCACUGAGUCAUCUCAGCAGCUCUAAAAAUAAUCUUUUUAAAGAAACAAGCCACCCGCCAGAUCUGACCUCUAGACUGGAGUAACCCCAGGCACAAACCACAUGCUCCAAACAAGACUACAAGGUGUUCUGAGCACCCUGUGCUUUCCACCUCUGCAGUUUGAGGCCAUGACCCAAACUGCACUGCCUACUCAUUCAUCCGACAGUGGUCCUCACAGACCUGCCUCCCGAGGCACCACUGCACCAGGUGACUGACCCACCUUCCUCACGCCUCCCAGAUGGACUGUCUCCCGUACGUUUUAUAAGUGGCUGUCGUACAGGUGACUCCCCGUGUAGAUGAACUACGUGUGCUGGGCCCCCUCAAUAGAUAUACAGGGAUGCCAGUGAAGGUACCAGGAACCCGGAGGUCUUCCCAACAGUUCUGUCCUGCCUCAGAUGCACACAUGCAUCCAGUUGAAACCACUGGCCAUGCAUCUGCUUGGCUUCCACUGAGAAGUAUCUCAGUAUGAGGGUAGUGACAUGGGGUUAUUAAUAUUAUUAACAGAGAAAAGGCCAACUAAAUAAAAGUCUCUCUUUGUGUCA